GCCUUCGUGGUGUAGUGGUGAGCACGCUCUACGAGUAACCGAGAGGUCCGUGGUUCGAUUCCCGGCGAGGGCU
This is a non-coding RNA of Stegodyphus mimosarum, 73 nucleotides long. NCBI's taxonomy places the organism in Eukaryota, Metazoa, Arthropoda, Arachnida, Araneae, Eresidae. The record is from Rfam.